Long non-coding RNA from Onychostoma macrolepis, 1735 nucleotides. RefSeq lists it as uncharacterized. The transcript is spliced from 4 exons. The record is from RefSeq and is a predicted model, not a curated record. Lineage: Eukaryota; Metazoa; Chordata; Actinopteri; Cypriniformes; Cyprinidae.
GUGGAUGGGGAAACAAUAGAGUGUGGCCUCAGAGAGAACUCGAUCUCAUAUUUAUUUCAAGGCUUCUCUAAAAAAACAGGCCAAGUUUAACAAAUUUGUACACAAGAUGGAGGUGGUAACAACAACACUAGAACCAGUGCCAGCAGAAUCCUAUCAACAAACUUCGACUACAGAAAAGAUGCAUCAUCUGUUGAUGGUCGUGUGAAUGUCCUGCAUAUCCAGUACAGCAAGGUGCGACCAGACACGACACCAGCAGCGAACUUUUGUGUGACGAAGAAGGGAGAUAAGAGAUGGAAUGACUGUGGAGGAUAUACUUAAGAAAUACCCUUUCUUGAAAACACCCUCAGGGUUGUGUUAUGAAGUUGACCGAAUGCAUUCAUCAACUGUCAGUUUAAGCCAGCGCUUCAAGGACGGCUUUACCAGUAUUGUGCCAAAGGUGCUUGAGCUUGUUCAAAGAAAUGCUCCAUUGGCCAAAGUCUACAAAGAAGCAAGAGAAGAGAUGCUUGCAGAAUAUCUACCAGUGUGAUGCUGAUACUCCAUACCCAACCAUACAGUUGGUAGAAACUGACUGGAAGAUGGCUUUCUCCUUUUCGAAGUGGAUGGUGUGGAGGUGUGCAGGUGAAUAGGAGUUGAAGAAGGGAUAAUUGCAGCCUUCAGUGCUUACUACGUUUUCAACUUUGCUUAUCCACCCUACAUGAAGAAUACGCUGACCUUCCUGCAGCAUGCCAUAACAAAGAUUACUGAGGUGGGUGGCAAGCCCCUUCCAAUAACUGUCACCCGAAUAAUGAAUAUUCUGUGCUAAAAUUUUGAAAACAUGGACUGUCACAAUGAUCUGGAGAAUACCAAUGAGCUACAGCCUAGGACAGAUGAAAUGCAUCCACCUCGUAGGAAUGAGCUUUUGACGAACUUUAAAGAAAAUCUCUUCGGUUUCAUUCUUAAAUGUAGAGAGAAUAAAAAUCACAUUCCACAGACUGUCCAGCAAGAAAUGGUGAAUGGCAUCAUUUUUAAUUUUUAAUUUUGUUAUUUUAAAGAGAAUUACGACUAUGAUUCACACUUCCAUGCGUACGCAGUAAAAGUUGACUUUGAAUGGAGUGUUAUAAAACCAGGGCAAGAGAUGGACUUUCAGGCCCCUUGACACGUACUCUGCUGAUGAUAAAUUGUUUGUGAUCCUCAAGAAUGUUUAAAAAGUUCAAAUUUGUGUUUGUGAUGAUGUUUUAAGGGUAUAAAGUUACAAUCAAUGAAAUGUGUACUGUUGGAAAAAGAUUGCUUUGAAAUUCUUGAUGUUAAAAACUGUUUUUAGAGAAAGUAGAAUGUAGUAGAAAAAGUACUUAAAAUGAGAUCUAGUGCAGUGCUGUUUUGAAAAGUGAAAUUACUUUAAUAUUUUAUUACAUGGUUAAAAAAAAAAUUGUAAAUGAAAUGCAAAGGAAAAAAGUUUUAAUAGUAAGCUUAAUAUUCUUGCGGUUUACAAUUUUAUAAAACAUUUAAAAAGUUUGAGUAUAAACAACUGUUUUUUAAAAAAGUUAAAUUGCUCCGUGUAUGCAUCCUGUUAUGACACAUUGUGAUAGAGCUUAAAACAUUCAUCCUGUGAAAAAUGUGAGAAAGUAAUAGUUUUGAAUGUUUAAAAAAAUGUGUGUUUGUGAUAAAAUGGUAAGGGUAUUAAGUUAUAGUUAAUGAAAUGUGUACUGUUGGGUGGAAAAUUGCUUUUUGAUUCUUGUGUUUGAAUUCUUGUGUGAUU